RNAcentral lists this ribosomal RNA (440 nucleotides) under uncultured bacterium. Its description in RNAcentral is "partial 16S ribosomal RNA". It matches the Rfam family "Bacterial small subunit ribosomal RNA", at positions 338 to 795 of the family's 1533-position model. The record is from RNAcentral.
CCUACGGGGGGCAGCAGUGGGGGAUAUUGCACAAUGGGGGGAACCCUGAUGCAGCGACGCCGCGUGGGUGAAGAAGCGCCUCGGCGCGUAAAGCCCUGUCAGCAGGGAAGAAAAUGACGGUACCUGAAGAAGAAGUCCCGGCUAACUACGUGCCAGCAGCCGCGGUAAUACGUAGGGGGCAAGCGUUAUCCGGAUUUACUGGGUGUAAAGGGGGCGCAGACGGCGAUGCAAGCCAGGAGUGAAAGCCCGGGGCUCAACCCCGGGACUGCUCUUGGAACUGCGUGGCUGGAGUGCAGGAGGGGCAGGCGGAAGUCCUGGUGUAGCGGUGAAAGGCGGAGAUAUCAGGAGGAACACCGGUGGCGAAGGCGGCCUGCUGGACUGCAACUGACGUUGAGGCCCGAAAGCGUGGGGAGCAAACAGGAUUAGAUACCCUUGUAGUC